RNAcentral lists this ribosomal RNA (2344 nucleotides) under Escherichia coli. RNAcentral describes it as "partial 23S ribosomal RNA". It matches the Rfam family "Bacterial large subunit ribosomal RNA", at positions 592 to 2915 of the family's 2925-position model. The record is from RNAcentral. Lineage: Bacteria; Pseudomonadati; Pseudomonadota; Gammaproteobacteria; Enterobacterales; Enterobacteriaceae.
UGUGACUGCGUACCUUUUGUAUAAUGGGUCAGCGACUUAUAUUCUGUAGCAAGGUUAACCGAAUAGGGGAGCCGAAGGGAAACCGAGUCUUAACUGGGCGUUAAGUUGCAGGGUAUAGACCCGAAACCCGGUGAUCUAGCCAUGGGCAGGUUGAAGGUUGGGUAACACUAACUGGAGGACCGAACCGACUAAUGUUGAAAAAUUAGCGGAUGACUUGUGGCUGGGGGUGAAAGGCCAAUCAAACCGGGAGAUAGCUGGUUCUCCCCGAAAGCUAUUUAGGUAGCGCCUCGUGAAUUCAUCUCCGGGGGUAGAGCACUGUUUCGGCAAGGGGGUCAUCCCGACUUACCAACCCGAUGCAAACUGCGAAUACCGGAGAAUGUUAUCACGGGAGACACACGGCGGGUGCUAACGUCCGUCGUGAAGAGGGAAACAACCCAGACCGCCAGCUAAGGUCCCAAAGUCAUGGUUAAGUGGGAAACGAUGUGGGAAGGCCCAGACAGCCAGGAUGUUGGCUUAGAAGCAGCCAUCAUUUAAAGAAAGCGUAAUAGCUCACUGGUCGAGUCGGCCUGCGCGGAAGAUGUAACGGGGCUAAACCAUGCACCGAAGCUGCGGCAGCGACGCUUAUGCGUUGUUGGGUAGGGGAGCGUUCUGUAAGCCUGUGAAGGUGUACUGUGAGGUAUGCUGGAGGUAUCAGAAGUGCGAAUGCUGACAUAAGUAACGAUAAAGCGGGUGAAAAGCCCGCUCGCCGGAAGACCAAGGGUUCCUGUCCAACGUUAAUCGGGGCAGGGUGAGUCGACCCCUAAGGCGAGGCCGAAAGGCGUAGUCGAUGGGAAACAGGUUAAUAUUCCUGUACUUGGUGUUACUGCGAAGGGGGGACGGAGAAGGCUAUGUUGGCCGGGCGACGGUUGUCCCGGUUUAAGCGUGUAGGCUGGUUUUCCAGGCAAAUCCGGAAAAUCAAGGCUGAGGCGUGAUGACGAGGCACUACGGUGCUGAAGCAACAAAUGCCCUGCUUCCAGGAAAAGCCUCUAAGCAUCAGGUAACAUCAAAUCGUACCCCAAACCGACACAGGUGGUCAGGUAGAGAAUACCAAGGCGCUUGAGAGAACUCGGGUGAAGGAACUAGGCAAAAUGGUGCCGUAACUUCGGGAGAAGGCACGCUGAUAUGUAGGUGAAGUCCCUCGCGGAUGGAGCUGAAAUCAGUCGAAGAUACCAGCUGGCUGCAACUGUUUAUUAAAAACACAGCACUGUGCAAACACGAAAGUGGACGUAUACGGUGUGACGCCUGCCCGGUGCCGGAAGGUUAAUUGAUGGGGUUAGCGCAAGCGAAGCUCUUGAUCGAAGCCCCGGUAAACGGCGGCCGUAACUAUAACGGUCCUAAGGUAGCGAAAUUCCUUGUCGGGUAAGUUCCGACCUGCACGAAUGGCGUAAUGAUGGCCAGGCUGUCUCCACCCGAGACUCAGUGAAAUUGAACUCGCUGUGAAGAUGCAGUGUACCCGCGGCAAGACGGAAAGACCCCGUGAACCUUUACUAUAGCUUGACACUGAACAUUGAGCCUUGAUGUGUAGGAUAGGUGGGAGGCUUUGAAGUGUGGACGCCAGUCUGCAUGGAGCCGACCUUGAAAUACCACCCUUUAAUGUUUGAUGUUCUAACGUUGACCCGUAAUCCGGGUUGCGGACAGUGUCUGGUGGGUAGUUUGACUGGGGCGGUCUCCUCCUAAAGAGUAACGGAGGAGCACGAAGGUUGGCUAAUCCUGGUCGGACAUCAGGAGGUUAGUGCAAUGGCAUAAGCCAGCUUGACUGCGAGCGUGACGGCGCGAGCAGGUGCGAAAGCAGGUCAUAGUGAUCCGGUGGUUCUGAAUGGAAGGGCCAUCGCUCAACGGAUAAAAGGUACUCCGGGGAUAACAGGCUGAUACCGCCCAAGAGUUCAUAUCGACGGCGGUGUUUGGCACCUCGAUGUCGGCUCAUCACAUCCUGGGGCUGAAGUAGGUCCCAAGGGUAUGGCUGUUCGCCAUUUAAAGUGGUACGCGAGCUGGGUUUAGAACGUCGUGAGACAGUUCGGUCCCUAUCUGCCGUGGGCGCUGGAGAACUGAGGGGGGCUGCUCCUAGUACGAGAGGACCGGAGUGGACGCAUCACUGGUGUUCGGGUUGUCAUGCCAAUGGCACUGCCCGGUAGCUAAAUGCGGAAGAGAUAAGUGCUGAAAGCAUCUAAGCACGAAACUUGCCCCGAGAUGAGUUCUCCCUGACUCCUUGAGAGUCCUGAAGGAACGUUGAAGACGACGACGUUGAUAGGCCGGGUGUGUAAGCGCAGCGAUGCGUUGAGCUAACCGGUACUAAUGAACCGUGAGG